ACGGCUCAGUAACACGUGGCUAACCUGCCCUUAGGACGGGAUCACCCCCGGGAAACUGGGGCUAAUCCCCGAUAGGUGAAGAACUCUGGAAUGAGUCUUUGCUCAAAGGGCGUCAGAUCAUGCUUCUGGCGUCGCCCAAGGAUGGGGCCGCGACCGAUCAGGUUGUUGGUGAGGUAAUGGCCCACCAAGCCUAUAACCGGUGCGGGCCGUGAGAGCGGGAGCCCGGAGAUGGGCACUGAGACAAGGGCCCAGGUCCUACGGGGCGCAGCAGUCGCGAAAACUUUGCAAUACACGAAAGUGUGACAGGGUUAUCCCGAGUGCCGACCGCUGAGGUUGGCUUUUACCCAGUCUAGAAAGCUGGGGGAAUAAGGAGAGGGCAAGUCUGGUGUCAGCCGCCGCGGUAAUACCAGCUCUCCGAGUGGUGUGGACGUUUAUUGGGCCUAAAGCAUCCGUAGCUGGCUGGACAAGUCCCCUGUUAAACCCACCGAUUUAAUCGUUGGCGUGCGGGGGAUACUGCUCGGCUAGGGGACGAGAGAGGCAGACGGUAUUCCCGGGGUAGGGGUGAAAUCCUAUAAUCCCGAGAAGACCACCAGUGGCGAAGGCUGUCUGCUAGAACGCGCACGACGGUGAGGGAUGAAAGCUGGGGGAGCGAACCGGAUUAGAUACCCGGGUAGUCCCAGCUGUAAACGAUGCAGACUAGGUGUUUGGACGGCCACGUGCCGUUCUAGUGCCGCAGGGAAGCUGUUAAGUCUGCCGCCUGGGGAGUACGAUCGCAAGAUUGAAACUUAAAGGAAUUGGCGGGGGAGCAC
This 809-nucleotide ribosomal RNA is filed under the name uncultured archaeon. Its description in RNAcentral is "bacterial SSU rRNA". It matches the Rfam family "Archaeal small subunit ribosomal RNA", at positions 85 to 879 of the family's 1478-position model. The record is from RNAcentral.